GGUACCGGGCGUACCGUACCCGUACCGAUGGAUACCGGUAUCGGUACGCCAGUGUCGGUACGCCUGACGUACCGCGUACCGUACGUACUGACAUUCGGUACGCUUAUGCUAGUGCGGCACCGGUACGGGGUUCGGUACCGGUACGGCGAACCUUGGGGGCAAGGAUUAUUGACCUUGAGACUAGGCUGAACACUCGCUUGACUUUGGCUGAAAAUUCAAUCACCAACCUCCAAGUUACUCACAACGAUGGAGAAUUUGAACUUGGUGAGUUUGAAU
Molecule: long non-coding RNA, 276 nt
Filed under: Phoenix dactylifera (date palm)
Lineage: Eukaryota; Viridiplantae; Streptophyta; Magnoliopsida; Arecales; Arecaceae
Description: long non-coding RNA (PDAC_LNC016692)
Source: RNAcentral